Long non-coding RNA from Magnolia sinica, 2594 nucleotides. RefSeq lists it as uncharacterized. Lineage: Eukaryota; Viridiplantae; Streptophyta; Magnoliopsida; Magnoliales; Magnoliaceae. The transcript is spliced from 2 exons. The record is from RefSeq and is a predicted model, not a curated record.
UUUAGUGGUUGAUUCCAAAUAUAAGUAUUCCCAAAGCUUAAGUGUACCACGCCAAAGGAAACAGUGGGAAUAAUGCUUAUCAGAUUGUAGAGCAGUUUUUUUUCGAGUGAUUAAAAGUGCAAAAUAUCCAAUAAUCCUGUUUUAACAAACACAUACCUAUGAAUUAGAGGUGAGGAUUGUUCAACCAAUAUGAUAUUGUGAAUGUUACUUAGCAACCGUGAUUCCCAGAAUUUACUCUAUUUCAUUUGAAAUGUUUUUUUUGCCUACAUUGUAUAAUUUUUUAAGUGCCAAUAUAUCAACUGCCAGGGAAUAGAUUGAAUAUCAAAUAACUCUUGAUUUGUAUGUAUAUCCUAAAGGGAGACUUUCAUUUGACAUACAAAGUCCACGCAAGUGUCAAAGGCUGUUUUGCUCCAAUAGUCCAUGUGUCCAUGUCAAAAUAGAGAGUUGAUAGGAUUGAUCUAAACAGUCCACUAUUUUAAUAUAUGAAUAUACAUUUUAUUUAUUGUUAUUUAUUUAUAUAUAAUUGGGUCUAGGUGGGAUAUAGGUAUGGGUUUGCUAUAAAAAAAAAUGACCCAGUUGAAUAAUGAGUGGAGAGUUAGAAGACAAGUAGACCGGGCAACCUGGAUAAGUCUUAUAAAUUUUGACUAGAGCUAACAAAUCCUUAGUUUUUGACGAUGUUGGCACCAGCUCGAACCCUUAUUCUUUCAUAGACCAGUUACAAAUACAGGUGAGGAUUGGUCAGUUGAGAAAAGGAAUAGACGAGCAAAGCAUCGGUUGUUCAUUAGGUGUAUUUGUAGGCUGAGGGUUAGAAAUAUAGGUGGAAGAAUGGUUUGGGCCCCAAGUGCACAGUAUCGGUUGUUCAUUUGGUGAAAUGUAUUUGUAGUGAGGAAAUCAAUGUAGUAAAAUGGUCAAUGUGAUAUUUUCCUUUUGAGUAUUCCUCAUCCAAACAGUAAAUAUGGUUAGAUUUGAACUAUCCAUCAAUGGGCCCUACCGUGGAGUAGCCAAACUCAAAAAAUCACAGUACUGAAUGAUCCUAUCUGAUCAGAGCCAUACCAACAAAGACUAUGAAAAGGAACAAGAAAAACAAUUCACAUUCAAUAGGAACAAAAAAUAAAAUAAAAUAAAAUCCAUUAAUUGGAAAUAGGAUUGUUUAAUAGUUUGGAAUUUUUAAGCCAUGGGAAUCUAAAUUCUCAGGGCCGAGCUGACAAACAAUUCAGAUCUAACUCAUAAUUUUGAAUACUAUGAGAAAAAGUAGUGGACUAGUAAAGAAGGAGAAUAUGAUUUAGAGAGGAGAAAAUUACAAUGUGAUUUGAAAUAGGUGUAAAAUCCAAUUGAAAGCGAAAAUAAAAUAUUAGAGAUGAUUAAAAAGGAAGGAAAACUCGUUCAUGUACACCAAAGAUUGGUUGGAUUUAGUGAAUUUUACACAAAUUGGUCUUGAUUUAGUGAUUUUUUUACACAUUGACUUGGGCUGCUGCAAAACUCACGUCUCCGGCCCAUCUCUGAUCAGUGACUGUGAUAAGAGAACUUCAGGCCUGUUUGGGAACUUGGGAAAAAAAAAAUCACUAAAAUAUGAUUUCAGAUUCAACUCUAGAAUAUUUCACAAUUUCAAAAAACUUUUGAUUGGAUGCUGUGGAUAAAAUACAUGCAUCAUGCUGUGCCCAUUGAGCUUUAACACCAACUACUGGCUUGUGUUGGGAUCACCAGCCAACUAUUGAUACCCUGCACAUCUGAGUUGUGGAAACUGACCUGACUUUUAUGCGAGGCGAUCUAGAUCCAAACACAGUAUCAUAGCUAAUGGAAAGCUCAGAUGCCACACAUGUAUCAUGUUGUAAUACAUGCCCACAUGUAUAAAUUAGCAAACCUCCAUUGUGGGAUUAUCACUUCUGAUGGAUGGACUGAUAUGUUACUGGUCAAGCUAUUUGAUGCUCUAGCUAUGUUUGACACUUGAUACACAGGCAUUUAGAAAUGGUACACGUGGCAUCAACUCAAGUUAGAACCACUGUCUCUGAGUUAUAGCCCAAAAGUUAGAUUGGUCCAAUAAUCCUAAACGCCAAUUCUAAGACACUUGUUUGCUGAAAUAGAAACACUAGAUUUUUUUUAAGUGCCUCAUUAUCAUCGAUGACACUCUGCUAGAGUAUCUAUGUUUUUUCCAAAUCAUUGUCUUAGAUUGAUUUGAACUGUUUAUGUUCGUACCACUGCCAUAUAGACAUGGCUUAUAUGCAUAGUAAUCACUAUCUUUGGAGUGUUCAGAUUUGAGAAAUGAUUUGGUUGGCUAAGUGUACAGAAACCACCUUCACAUGCAUACAGAUGCAUUUCACAUCCAAGUCAGGAUCUAGCUAAUUGGUAUUCACUUUAUGCUUUCUUUGCGGAGGUACAUCGAUACAGGAGAUUUCUUCCGAGUAGCUUGAGGAAAGGAGAUUUAUAUCUAGAGGCAACUACAAAUUUCUGAGUCCUCUAGUGGUGGUUCACCCUCGAAUAAUUAUAGAAGACGCACAAGAGAAGUUAUCGGUAUAGCUGUUGGAGGUGCAGGUAGACUACUGAUACUCGCAUCCAUUUUCUAUCUAUGGUGGAUGAAGGAUGCACCUGACCAUAUG